Molecule: unclassified non-coding RNA, 171 nt
Filed under: soil metagenome
Description: partial internal transcribed spacer 1
Source: RNAcentral
CAAGGAACCCUACGGUAUUACUCCUCGGAGUAUUGCCCUAGGUUAUUCACAACCCUUUGUUGUCCGACUCUGUUGCCUCCGGGGCGACCCUGCCUUCGGGCGGGGGCUCCGGGUGGACACUUCAAACUCUUGCGUAACUUUGCAGUCUGAGUAAACUUAAUUAAUAAAUUA